Molecule: ribosomal RNA, 960 nt
Filed under: Triticum aestivum (bread wheat)
Lineage: Eukaryota; Viridiplantae; Streptophyta; Magnoliopsida; Poales; Poaceae
Description: partial small subunit ribosomal RNA
Source: RNAcentral
AUGCACUUUCUUCCCCGUCUUCCACUCUUCUUCCUCCUCUCUUCUUCUUCCUCCUCUCUUAUUCUUCCUCCUCUCUUCUUCUUCCUCCUCUCUUCCCCAUCGUCGGCCGCACACCAUUUACCCCCGCUCACUACUCGCCCGCCCGCGCCAUCUUCCUUGGUAGCUCGCGCGUACCAUAUCCCCCCGCUCACUGCUCGGCCACACGAGGAGAAGCUUCUUCGCUCGCCCGCCCGAAUCCACUUCCCCGCUGGCUCACAGGCACCGAAAACCCCAAUGGCAGAACCGACUGACACGCAGAGCCGCGUUUGGAAUUCCCUCCCUGAUGUUCUCUUGGAGCAGAUCUGUAGUCGUAUGGACCUACUCAACCUACCAUAUAACUGGAAUUACCGAUGCAAGUCGAAGAAGGAUUGGCCGGUGCUGCCGGCUGGCGUCAAGUUCGAUCCCACAGAUCAGGAGCUGAUCGAGCACCUUGAGGCCAAAGUGAGUGCUAACAGCGCGAGAUUUCAGUCUCUCAUCGAUUUGUUCAUACCAACCAUCGACAGCGAGCACGACAUAUGCUACACCCAACCUGAGAAACUUCCAGGUAUCACACUGAGUGGCCUAAGGAAGAAUUUCUUCCAGCGCAAUUCCAGGGCGCUCAAAAGGGGCACACGGGCAGCAAAAAAGGUUCUGGUGCUGCACACCAACAAGAACUUCGACCAGCAGAGGACCAACUGGGUGAUGCACCAGUACCACCUCGGGGACCUGGAGCAAGAGAAGGAGCGGGAGCUGGUCCUCUGCAAGAUUUUCUACCAGACGAACACUAGGGCUAGGAGUAAAAAGAUUAUAAGUCGAGCAAGUUUCAACUGGGCUAUAGACUUAUUAACAGGCCCAGCCCAUGACGACAGUGGGGCACAAAUAUCCAGCAGAUUAACCCACCUGGCCCUAGGGAUGCCCUUUUUCAUGUCUUGCAAGCAAUAA